Molecule: long non-coding RNA, 1053 nt
Organism: Toxorhynchites rutilus septentrionalis
Lineage: Eukaryota; Metazoa; Arthropoda; Insecta; Diptera; Culicidae
Exons: 5
Source: RefSeq, a predicted model, not a curated record
AAGUGCCGGAAUUUUACCCCGGCUUGCCACCCGCAGGCAGCACUGCCCUAAGCUUCUGCUAUAAUCACAAUAAAACUACACGAAUUGAGCGAAUCGCCAUCAUAGCAGCAUAUUUUCUCCUCAUUGAACUGUCAAAACACAACACAACAGUUUUUGGAAAGAGAAACGAUUUUUAUUGGCUUGAUCGAACUCUCGAACUGCAGAGUAGACAGAUAGGACAGGUUAAUCUCGCAUUGCCUUCCACCGCUCCACCGACAGCAGGCUUCAUAGUAAAUACAGGGAAUCGAUCUAAAAGUAAAAACGGUUCCUUGUACCGGGUUUUUUUCUAAACCAACCCAUCAGCUUCGAUAUCCAGAUCUCUAGAAAUAGCGGAAGAGCCAGCAGAAAAAUUUGCUUCCCAGUAGAAAACGAUGCUGGACUACUGGAAUUAGAAGAAUUUUCGAAAUCACAGCAGGGGGAAGAUACGCUGCGUGAGCGACUCCGUAAUGAAUCGUCCAAAACAUUGUACGAUUUUCUGAGAAAUAGGUGAAACUUCUCUUUGGAAGAACAUGUCAUUUCAUCUGGACAGGAAAAUCCGCAUACAACGCACAAUAUGCUAAGGUAGCACGCAGCGCUUCAGAACUGCAUGUUAUAGAACUUUUAAUAGAAGUCGCACAGGAAAAGUUCGCCGUGGAUAAGAAUCGCGCCAAAACAGAGUUCAUCAGGGCUUUACAUAGUAACGAAAGCAUAGCUCUAAGUAGAAAGCGUAAAAAAUGAAUUAUCCACAAUAUGAAAAAAAAAUGAGUGGGUUAUAUCUAUGAUAUAACCGCAAGGUUCACGUGGAACUACCUUAGCUUAGCAAUCAUUCGUUUGUAUUGAUUAAAUUCUUGAUUGAAUGAAACAGUUUCCAAAUUCAAUUGAGUUCAAUAUAUUUGCUCUGUGAGUGAAAAAAAUGAACAAAUGCCGUGUAAAGUCAAUUCAUUUAUUGUGAUUGAUUGUUCUUCGUUACAAGUAAAUUUAACGACGGACCUUUUACGUUUGGUAUGAUGACUAGAACAAAAUAUAUGUACGGAA